GGUUGCGAUCAUACCAGCACUAAUGCACCGGAUCCCAUCAGAACUCCGCAGUUAAGCGUGCUUGGGCGAGAGUAGUACUAGGACGGGUGACCCCCUGGGAAGUCCUCGUGUUGCAACCG
This 119-nucleotide ribosomal RNA is filed under the name Helianthus annuus (common sunflower). The record is from RNAcentral. Lineage: Eukaryota; Viridiplantae; Streptophyta; Magnoliopsida; Asterales; Asteraceae.